Long non-coding RNA from Equus caballus (horse), 3209 nucleotides. NCBI's taxonomy places the organism in Eukaryota, Metazoa, Chordata, Mammalia, Perissodactyla, Equidae. The record is from Ensembl.
CACUUCUGAGUAAAUACCUAAAAGAAUUGAAAAUAGGGACUCGAACAGAUAUUUGUACACCCAUGUUCAUAGCAAUGUUAUUUACAAUAGCUGAAAAGUGAAAGCAACCCAAGUGUGCGUUGACAGAUGAAUGGAUAAACAAAAUGUGGUCUAUACAUACAAUGGAAUAUUAUUCAGCCUUAACAAGGAAGGAAAUUCUGACAAUCCUACUAUAAGACAUUAUGCUAAGUGAUCUAAGCUUGUCAUGUGAGGACAAAUACUGUAUCAUUCUAUUUAUGAUGAUAAAUAAAUGGCAAGCAAUAGGAUAUAUUGGAGUAUAUGAGGAAGCCAUUUGGUGUAAAAUUCAGCCUGACCUUGUUUUUCCAAAAGGGCCCGAUGUGGCCAUUGAGUGUGCAUUGUAUAUCUACUUUAAGCAUUUACUAUGUCCCAAAGACAAGGACAAAUGCCCUUAAGAUAAAGAUGUAAAUUCCCCUAUGCUGGAAUUUCCUUAAGGAUAAGCAUCUCUCCCUAGACUAGGAAUUGAUUGCCGCGCUCACCUUGUGACCACCCAUCUCCAACAACAGACUUGCUACCUUCUAUGUCCAUCAAUUGCUGUGCCCACAAGGCAGUCUCGUGACUAUUGUAAAAGGGACAUUCCUAACAUACGUGAGUAUGCUCUUUGUCCCAAGACUGUAUAUAACCACUCUGCACACCCCACUUCUUUGGGCCCUUCCUUCCUUCCUCGGGGGAAGAAGGCCCCGGGCUAUUCUUCUGAUCUGACUCAUCAUAAACACAGCCCAAUUUUGAUUUAUAGAUUGGCUAUGGAUUAUUUGUGUUGACAGUGAGGUACCUAGAAUAGCCAUAUUCAUAGAGACAGAAAGAGAAGCGUGGUUGCCAGCGGCUGAGGGGAGGUGGGAGUGGGAAGUUAGUGUUAAAUUGGUACUGAGUUUCACUUUGGGAAGAUGGAAAAAUUUCAGGAGGCAGAUGGUGGUGAUGAUUGUACAACUGCAAGUAUAGUUAAUGCCAUAGAACUGUACAUUUAAAAACGGUUAAAAUGGUAAACUUUAUGUUAUAUAUAUUUUAACACAAUAAAAUUUUUAAAGAUAGAUGGAUGUAUAGGGGUCUUUUUGUAUAUGUAGAUGUACGGGAUUUUGUUUUUGCUCUUGAUUGCUUACUUUUACUAAAAGAAUUAUACUACACACAUAUUCCUCAUGUAACUAACCCCAAACCUUAAUGGUAUAAAGCAACCAUUUAAUUAUGCUUAGAAUUAGGGAUUCUGCGGAUCAGAAAUUUGACCUAGGCACAGAAGGGACAAUUGUCUCUUCUCCAUGGUGUCUGGGCUCCCCUGGGAAGACUCAGAGGCUGGAAAUGGCUCAACGGCUGAGAGCAGGAAUCAUCUGGAGGCUUCCUCACUUACACAUCUGGCAGUUGGUUUUGGGUCCUCACUUGGGUUGUCAACCAGAACAUCUACAUUUGGGCUUUCCACCUGGGCUGUGCCUUUGAACUUCCUCACAGCAUGGCAGCUGAAUUCAAGGAGUGGAGUCCCAAGAGGGCAGAGCAGAAGUAUAUGGCAUGUUUACAAUCUAGCCGCAAAAGUCACAUUGCAUCCUUCUGCUAUGCUCAGUUGGUUGAGGCUGUUACAAAAAUCUGUCCAGGUUCAAGGGGAAGAGCUCAAAGGGAGGAGUGUUAAGAUCCUUUGUAAGAGGAGCAUCUGGGAGGGGCGAUGUUGGUGGCCAUCUUUGGAAAAUACAGUCUGCCACAACACAUUCAUUAGUUUGUGACUUGCUUUUACAAUAUUUCAUUGAGAUCCCUAAAAAGUCGGUAAAGAUGUAGUUCAAUUUUUCUCAUUUCUUUAUAAUUACAAAUCAUUUUAAAAUCCCAAAGUAAUAUAAAUACCGUAAGAAAACUUGGGAAAACAUAAAAGAAAAAUCUAUUCACAAUCCCCCUCCUUCAACCAAUCACAGGAAUUCUUUUUAGACUUUUUACUCCAUAAUUUCCUCAUAAUGUAUAUAAAGUUUUGUGUUUGUUUUUAUUUCAUCUUUGCAUAUGAGCCCCCAAAUUCACAUCUCAACACGAUCUUCUUUAUUUUUCUUGUAUGGACAAAACAAAAAUAAGAGUAGGGUUCAUCAAAGGAUAAAGUCCUCAGAUCAAAACUUUGGCUUAGCUUGUCCUACCUAAAACUCACUAGGGAAGAUCACGUCAAGGCUUUCAGGUCCUCCAUCUUCUUUCUCUAAUGAACAGGAAGCAGAAUUAGGACACACUGGAUCUGGAAAAGUAACGUCAGCAGUGAGUCGUGCCUACUGCACAGUUGUGUAAGGAGCAGGCAGGUGACUGACCUGGGUGUGGAAUGCCAGCAAGUGAACUUUCAUUCACUUUUCUGCUUGGCUUUAGGGUUUCAACAAAAUACGUGGAUCUAGCAUAUUAAAGAUCAGCAAAGCCUAUGUCUUCCAAACGCCACUCUGAACAUUACUGGUUUUCACUGGCCUGCUGUGAAAUGAGAAAAAUAAUGACAAUGUGGACAAAAUGCCAAGCCACCAGAAAAAGCUAAGCUUUUUUCUGCUUCACUGAUGCAAGAAGCAUUUUCGGGACAUCUACUCUGUGCCUGACAUUGUGCUGGGUGUUGGAGAGACAAAGAUGGAUAAAUACGACUCGGUCCUUGCGCUUGCUGGGUCCACUGUUUCCAGGACACCAUCAAGCCAUAAACAGAACAUCAUAAUGCAAUGUGGUGACCACAGAAACACCAUCACACAGCCAUUUUAUAUAGGGCUUUGUGGGAGCAAAAUGGCAGCCCUGGCUGAGCUGACACUUUAAAUGAAAUUUAAAGGAUGACUACAAUUUAGCCAAAUGAGAGCAUGAAGGACACGCCAGUCAGAGGAGACAACAUAAGCUCAGGUCCGGGGGUGGGAAAUGGCAUUGAUGUGGAUCAAGGCUGCCCCAGGGAGAGAAGCCCAAGGCGUCCCAGCCUACAUGCCGAUUUAUAUCAUCCUCCAGGAAACAUAGGAUAUCCUGACCUGAUCCAACCUGACUCAUAUCCAGAGUUAUACGACCACUCGAUAACCAGACCCCACCUGCAUUGAUACCAUGUUAACAACUUUUUUACAUGAUCUUUCCUUUGUCUUGUAAAGAAGUAACUCACAUACCUCUGCUUUAUAAAUUUAGCCCUACCCUCAACCCAUUGCAGCUCUUCACUGCCCAUGGGUCCUGUCCCCAUGCUAUUCUCUGAAUAAAAA